This 253-nucleotide ribosomal RNA is filed under the name uncultured bacterium. RNAcentral describes it as "partial 16S ribosomal RNA". It matches the Rfam family "Bacterial small subunit ribosomal RNA", at positions 524 to 776 of the family's 1533-position model. The record is from RNAcentral.
UACAGAGGGGGCAAGCGUUGUUCGGAAUUACUGGGCGUAAAGGGCGCGUAGGCGGCCCUCUAAGUCGAACGUGAAAUCCCUGGGCUCAACCCAGGAACUGCGUCCGAGACUGGGGGGCUCGAAUCCGGGAGAGGGAUGUGGAAUUCCAGGUGUAGCGGUGAAAUGCGUAGAUAUCUGGAGGAACAUCGGUGGCGAAGGCGGCAUCCUGGACCGGUAUUGACGCUGAGGCGCGGAAGCCAGGGGAGCAAACGGG